Molecule: long non-coding RNA, 950 nt
Organism: Ahaetulla prasina
Lineage: Eukaryota; Metazoa; Chordata; Lepidosauria; Squamata; Colubridae
Exons: 3
Source: RefSeq, a predicted model, not a curated record
AGAGAGCUAAUUAAAAAUAGGGUAUUUCUAAGCGCUUGGAAUUUUACCUUGUAUUUAUUCAACGUGUUUCUUCCCCAACCCCCCUCUUUUUUUCUCCUUUAAUAUCAUUCGUAAGCUUGUGCUUGAGGUUGUCUUGGAACCUUGCUUGGGGAUUGUUGUUUUCAGCUUAUCUAACUGACUAUCUAUUUUCAGAAUGUGAUGUCUUGUCGCGAUUAAACAUUAAAGAGCCCUACGUGAUGUAGUUGUAGAAGACAGAUGUAUAUAGGACUGGAGGCUUUCAACCACAUCACAAAUCAUCCCGAGUGAUUAAUUGGCUUGCUCAAGGCCACUGAGGAAACCUAAAUGGGCCUUGUAAAGAUGGAAGAUACCUUAGCACAUUUGCAGUUUUCCAUGCAAUUUUCAUGACCACUUAACUAUCUCUCCUUCUGUUGCUGCUUAUCCUUUGCUAGAGCUAGCAGCAUUCCCAUUGGGAUUGAAAUCUCAUAAAGGAAAAACAAAACCCUUGACUUUUACACAGAAGUAAAACAAUAGAAGGAUGGAUUUUUAGCAGCGAAUAAAGAUGCAGUCGUUCCAUUGAGGACCUGUAUACUGCAUAAGCCAGAAAGAAGACUGAGAAAAUAUCUACAGACUCCUCACAUCUUGGACAUAAAUUGUUUCAAUUUCUCCCCUCGGCACGUGGCUAUAAGGCAUUACAUAUCAAAACAACUAGAAACAAAAACAGUUUUUUCCCCCUGCCAUCCCUCUGCUAAAUACUUAAUUCCUAUCUUAUGCCUAAAGGAUAUCUAACCAUGUAGUAGGACUGUAUUGCUAUUAUCCUUCCCAUCGUCUCAUCUUUCUCAUCUUUCCUACUAACUUUUCCUAUUGGUAUCUUAUGAUUUAUCACUUUGUUGUUUGUCUCUUAUGAUCUAUGAUUGUGUCUUAUGAUUUAUGAUCUAUGACUUACCAUUUUG